RNAcentral lists this ribosomal RNA (251 nucleotides) under uncultured bacterium. RNAcentral describes it as "partial 16S ribosomal RNA". It matches the Rfam family "Bacterial small subunit ribosomal RNA", at positions 524 to 776 of the family's 1533-position model. The record is from RNAcentral.
CACGAAGGUGGCAAGCGUUGUUCGGAUUUACUGGGCGUACAGGGAGCGUAGGCGGUUGGAUAAGCCCUCCGUGAAAUCUCCAGGCUUAACCUGGAAAGUGCAGAGGGGACUGUUCAGCUAGAGGAUGGGAGAGGAGCGCGGAAUUCCCGGUGUAGCGGUGAAAUGCGUAGAGAUCGGGAGGAAGGCCGGUGGCGAGGCGGCGCUCUGGAACAUUUCUGACGCUGAGGCUCGAAGCGUGGGGAGCAAACAGG